This 73-nucleotide transfer RNA is filed under the name Ailuropoda melanoleuca (giant panda). It matches the Rfam family "tRNA". From Rfam's summary of the family: Transfer RNA (tRNA) molecules are approximately 80 nucleotides in length. Their secondary structure includes four short double-helical elements and three loops (D, anti-codon, and T loops). Lineage: Eukaryota; Metazoa; Chordata; Mammalia; Carnivora; Ursidae. The record is from Rfam by way of RNAcentral.
CCCUGGCUGACUUAGUCAGUGGAGCAUGGGACUCUUGAUCUCAGGGCUGUGGGUUCAAGCCCCACGUUGGGUG